UACGGGGGGGGGCAAGCGUUGUUCGGAAUUACUGGGCGUAAAGGGUGCGUAGGCGGUUCGCUAAGUUGGAUGUGAAAACUCUGGGCUUAACCCAGAGCCUGCAUCCAAUACUGACGAGCUAGAGUUCUGGAGGGGGUAGCGGAAUUCCUGGUGUAGCGGUGAAAUGCGUAGAGAUGUGGAGGAACACCGAUGGCGAAGGCAGCCCCCUGGGCCAACACUGACGCUCAGGCACGAAAGCGUGGGGAGCAAACAGG
Molecule: ribosomal RNA, 254 nt
Filed under: uncultured bacterium
Lineage: Bacteria
Description: partial 16S ribosomal RNA
Rfam family: Bacterial small subunit ribosomal RNA
Source: RNAcentral